This 497-nucleotide ribosomal RNA is filed under the name uncultured bacterium. RNAcentral's name for it is "partial 16S ribosomal RNA". It matches the Rfam family "Bacterial small subunit ribosomal RNA", at positions 28 to 507 of the family's 1533-position model. The record is from RNAcentral.
GAUGAACGCUGGCGGCGUGCCUAAUACAUGCAAGUCGAGCGAACAGACGAGGAGCUUGCUCCUCUGACGUUAGCGGCGGACGGGCGAGUAACACGUGGAUAACCUACCUAUAAGACUGGGAUAACUUCGGGAAACCGGAGCUAAUACCGGAUAAUAUAUUGAACCGCAUGGUUCAAUAGUGAAAGACGGUUUUGCUGUCACUUAUAGAUGGAUCCGCGCCGCAUUAGCUAGUUGGUAAGGUAACGGCUUACCAAGGCAACGAUGCGUAGCCGACCUGAGAGGGUGAUCGGCCCCCCUGGAACUGAGACACGGUCCAGACUCCUACGGGAGGCAGCAGUAGGGAAUCUUCCGCAAUGGGCGAAAGCCUGACGGAGCAACGCCGCGUGAGUGAUGAAGGUCUUCGGAUCGUAAAACUCUGUUAUUAGGGAAGAACAAAUGUGUAAGUAACUAUGCACGUCUUGACGGUACCUAAUCAGAAAGCCACGGCUAACUACGUG